GACGAACGCUGGCGGCGUGCUUAACACAUGCAAGUCGAACGAUGAAGCUGGAGCUUGCUCCGGUGGAUUUGUGGCGAACGGGUGAGUCACACGUGAGCAAUCUGCCCUUUACUCUGGUAUAACUGAGUGCAACUGUAGCUAAGACCGUAUACGAGGCUCGACAGCAUCUUCGGGUCUUGAAAGAAUUUCGGUCAAGGCUGAGCUCCCGGCCUAUCAGCUUGUUGGUGAGGUAAUGGCUCACCAAGGCGACGACGGGUAGCCGGCCUGAGAGGGUGACCGGCCACACUGGGACUGAGAAACGGCCCAGACUCCUACUGGAGGCAGCAGUGGGGAAUAUUGCACAAUGGGCGAAAGCCUGAUGCAGCAACGCCGCGUGAGGGAUGAAGGCCUUCGGGUUGUAAACCUCUUUUAGCAGGGAAGAAGCGAAAGUGACGGUACCUGCAGAAAAAGCACCGGCUAACUACGUGCCAGCCGCCGCGUAA
Molecule: ribosomal RNA, 482 nt
Filed under: uncultured bacterium
Lineage: Bacteria
Description: partial 16S ribosomal RNA
Rfam family: Bacterial small subunit ribosomal RNA
Source: RNAcentral